UACGGAGGGGGCUAGCGUUGUUCGGAAUUACUGGGCGUAAAGCGCACGUAGGCGGCUUUGCAAGUUAGAGGUGAAAGCCCGGAGCUUAACUCCGGAAUUGCCUUUAAAACUGCAUCGCUAGAAUUGUGGAGGGGUGAGUGGAAUUCCGAGUGUAGAGGUGAAAUUCGUAGAUAUUCGGAAGAACACCAGUGGCGAAGGCGACUCACUGGACACAUAUUGACGCUGAGGUGCGAAAGCGUGGGGAGCAAACAGG
RNAcentral lists this ribosomal RNA (253 nucleotides) under uncultured bacterium. RNAcentral describes it as "partial 16S ribosomal RNA". It matches the Rfam family "Bacterial small subunit ribosomal RNA", at positions 524 to 776 of the family's 1533-position model. The record is from RNAcentral.